UACCAGCUCUCCGAGUGGUAGGGAUGUUUAUUGGGCUUAAAGCGCCCGUAGCCGGCUUAGCAAGUCUCCUGUUAAAUUCAGCGACCUAAUCGUUGAGCCGCGGGAGAUACUACUAGGCUAGGAGGCGGGAGAGGUCAACGGUACUUCCGGGGUAGGGGUGAAAUCCUAUAAUCCCGGGAGGACCACCAGUGGCGAAGGCUGUUGACUAGAACGCGCUCGACGGUGAGGGACGAAAGCUGGGGGAGCGAACCGGAUUAGAUACCCGGGUAGUCCCAGCUGUAAACGAUGCGAGCUAGGUGUUGGGGUGGCUACGUGCCACUUCAGUGCCGCAGGGAAGCCAUUAAGCUCGCCGCCUGGGGAGUACGGCCGCAAGGCUGAAACUUAAAGGAAUUGGCGGGGAGCACCACAAGGCGUGAAGCUUGCGGUUC
Molecule: ribosomal RNA, 428 nt
Filed under: uncultured archaeon
Lineage: Archaea
Description: bacterial SSU rRNA
Rfam family: Archaeal small subunit ribosomal RNA
Source: RNAcentral